Molecule: ribosomal RNA, 253 nt
Filed under: uncultured bacterium
Lineage: Bacteria
Description: partial 16S ribosomal RNA
Rfam family: Bacterial small subunit ribosomal RNA
Source: RNAcentral
UACGGAGGGUGGGAGCGUUAAUCGGAAUUACUGGGCGUAAAGCGUGCGCAGGCGGCUCUUCAAGUCAGAAGUGAAAGCCCCGGGCUUAACCUGGGAAUGGCGUUUGAAACUGGAGGGCUGGAGUGUGGCAGAGGGAGGUGGAAUUCCACGUGUAGCAGUGAAAUGCGUAGAGAUGUGGAGGAACACCGAUGGCGAAGGCAGCAUCCUGGGCCAACUCUGACGCUCAUGCACGAAAGCGUGGGGAGCAAACAGG